Cavia porcellus (domestic guinea pig) is the source of this 64-nucleotide transfer RNA. It matches the Rfam family "tRNA". Rfam says of the family: Transfer RNA (tRNA) molecules are approximately 80 nucleotides in length. Their secondary structure includes four short double-helical elements and three loops (D, anti-codon, and T loops). Further hydrogen bonds mediate the characteristic L-shaped molecular structure. tRNAs have two regions of fundamental functional importance: the anti-codon, which is responsible for specific mRNA codon recognition, and the 3' end, to which the tRNAs corresponding amino acid is attached (by aminoacyl-tRNA synthetases). tRNAs cope with the degeneracy of the genetic code in two manners: having more than one tRNA (with a specific anti-codon) for a particular amino acid; and 'wobble' base-pairing, i.e. permitting non-standard base-pairing at the 3rd anti-codon position. The record is from Rfam. Lineage: Eukaryota; Metazoa; Chordata; Mammalia; Rodentia; Caviidae.
GGGGGUUUAGCUCAGCGGCAUAAGCACCUGCCUUGAAAGCAGGCAGUCGUGAAUUCAAUCCCCG